GGGAGUGGUUGAAUCCCGGUGGAUUCCCCGGUCUUCAAAACCGGUGGUGGGUCGCGUUGCGAGCCAUGGUGGGUUCGACUCCCAUCCGCUCCCG
This 94-nucleotide transfer RNA is filed under the name Chloroflexota bacterium. Its description in RNAcentral is "Chloroflexi bacterium (anaerobic digester metagenome) tRNA-Sec". It matches the Rfam family "Selenocysteine transfer RNA". Lineage: Bacteria; Bacillati; Chloroflexota. The record is from RNAcentral.